This is a long non-coding RNA of Piliocolobus tephrosceles (Ugandan red Colobus), 1316 nucleotides long. RefSeq lists it as uncharacterized. The transcript is spliced from 3 exons. Lineage: Eukaryota; Metazoa; Chordata; Mammalia; Primates; Cercopithecidae. The record is from RefSeq and is a predicted model, not a curated record.
GGCCAUUGGCAGCCCGGGAGAAGGGCACUUCCGGGCGGGGUGGAAGACACCGGCCAAUCAGUCUGCAAGCGGGACUUCUGUCGCCGUCCUCGGACCAUCACUUUGGCAUUUCUCGAUUUUGUCUGCAUUUGAAGGGACCGCGUUGUCAGGCGAGGGACAGAAUCUUGGAGGCUCCCUGGGCCCAUGGAAACAGGAGUGAGGAAGGCACGAGAGUCGGGGAAGUUCGUGACAUAUAAGCGCCCCGACCGCGGCGAAUAUCGCCCCCCGAGCCCCAGUGUUCCCCCCGGCUGUAGAUGAAGCCGGCCCAGUGGGACCCUCAGGUCGCACCGCGCGGAGGUGUCCGCGGCUCCCGGGAGUCGUCGCCCUUGGCGUUGUGUCGGCUUUACGGAGCGCGAGGCCGAGGCCAAGAAAAGCCACGCGUUGACCCAGCGUGCGCCCGGCUGCAGGCUUGGAGCGUGUGCCAAGGGUCUCCUGGCACCCACUCGGCUGGACUCAGCACCAUUGCCCUAAGUCUCCGAUUGAGAAGUACCUGCCCCAGGUCCUCUGCAGCCCCACCGAACAGUGUGGAGCGUUCACAGCACCAUGAAGAGAGGAAGGAGAUGACAUCACCCAUGGAAGGACAUAUAUACCCUGUCCAGUCUUCUUGUUGGCAAAAACACAGUAAGCCAAGUUGACACCUCCCUGAUAAUUCCAGAAGUCCUCUGGACCACUCAGAUUGCCUAAGACCUCCCCGUCUAGAAGAAGAAAUGACAUCCACCCCAAAAAGUAUGUGCCCUGAAAAACAUACCUUCUGAAGUUUCUGUCAACACUACUGGAGACAGAGGUCGGUGGAGCCCGAGUAAAUGUCCAGAAGUCCAGAGAUGCUGUGAACGCUUACUGUAGCCUCCAUGCUGGCCUUAUGGGGACACCAAGAUUCCUGGAUGUGGAAUCCACUGAGCACCUUUGCCUGCAGACUUCAGUGCCAGGAGCCACAUCGACAACCCCUGACUCUCCCAAUACUGUUCCUCUACCCAUAAGCCUCUGUGGUUCCCUAAAAGGAGAUGAUAUUGUUUUCCCCACUCCCUGCCUUGAUGCCUAGACUCAGGCAUGACUGCAGUCAUCUGCCAAGUUGUCUCUGGAAAACCUUUGACACAGGUAUUGUGAAUGCCCCAGUCUCUGUCUUAUCCCCACCACGACCAAGCCCAGUAAUUACCCAUUCUCUUAGGACCUGACCCAUCUCCACCUCCCAGGCUUUCUCCUGAUCCAAGGCUGUCUGGGAAAUCCAGCUCCAAGGUAACAGUUGCUUUUGAGGCUCCUCCCCAAAGGGCUUGUGAAAU